This 596-nucleotide ribosomal RNA is filed under the name uncultured bacterium. Its description in RNAcentral is "bacterial SSU rRNA". It matches the Rfam family "Bacterial small subunit ribosomal RNA", at positions 310 to 896 of the family's 1533-position model. The record is from RNAcentral.
AGGGGAGCGGCGCGAUUCGCCCUUUACUCCUACGGAGGCAGCAGUGGGGAAUAUUUGCGCAAUGGACGAAAGCCUGACGCAGCAACGCCGCGUGGGGGAUGAAGGUUCUCGGAUUGUAAACCCCUUUCGACCGGAACGAAUUCCCUCCUGGUAAAUAAUCAGGAGGAUCGACGGUACCGGGAGAAGAAGCCACGGCUAACUCUGUGCCAGCAGCCGCGGUAAGACAGAGGUGGCGAGCGUUGUUCGGAUUUAUUGGGCGUAAAGCGAACGCAGGUGGUUUGGUAAGUCAGAGGUGAAAGACCACAGCUUAACUGUGGCACUGCCUUUGAUACUGCCUUUCUAGAGUGCAUGAGGGGGAAGCGGAAUUCCGAGUGUAGAGGUGAAAUUCGUAGAUAUCCGGAGGAACACCGGUGGCGAAGGCGACUUCCUGGACCGAAACUGACGCUGAGACUCGAAAGCGUGGGGAGCAAACAGGAUUAGAUACCCUGGUAGUCCACGCUGUAAACGAUGGGCGCUAGGUGUGGGGGGUUUUUAAUCCCUCCGUGCCGGUGCUAACGCAUUAAGCGCCCCGCCUGGGGAGUACGGCCGCAAGGUUA